UAUCUUAAUGAUCUCUUUCCUAUUGAUCACCCUUUGAUCCUUGUAGAUACUCGGCAAUCUAACACAGAAUCACAGUGCGACUCUUUCUUGUUGAGCACUCUCACCCAAGAAAGUAGCCACCAGUUUCUAGCUGGCUUUCUAUCAACCCUUUGAUCCUUGUAGACACUCAGCAGUCUAACACAAAAUCAAAGUACGACUCUUUCUUGUUGAGACCUCUCACCCAAGAAAGUAGCCACCAGUUUCUAGCUGGAUUUCUAGCGUUCGUUUCGUUUCAAAGUAUUGUUACAGACAGAUUAACAAAAGUACAAAAAGCAGUCUUCAAUCUUGAUCAGUGUUCUUCUCACGAAUCUGGAUAUUCAAGGAUUGUUCAUG
RNAcentral lists this long non-coding RNA (372 nucleotides) under Cicer arietinum (chickpea). RNAcentral's name for it is "long non-coding RNA (CARI_LNC002121)". The record is from RNAcentral. Lineage: Eukaryota; Viridiplantae; Streptophyta; Magnoliopsida; Fabales; Fabaceae.